Molecule: transfer RNA, 62 nt
Filed under: Pristionchus pacificus
Lineage: Eukaryota; Metazoa; Nematoda; Chromadorea; Rhabditida; Neodiplogasteridae
Rfam family: tRNA
About the family: Transfer RNA (tRNA) molecules are approximately 80 nucleotides in length. Their secondary structure includes four short double-helical elements and three loops (D, anti-codon, and T loops).
Source: Rfam by way of RNAcentral
GCACAGGUAGUUCAGUGGUAGAACUCCUGCCCGGUAAGCAGGUUCGAUUCCCGGUCUGUGCA